RNAcentral lists this ribosomal RNA (121 nucleotides) under Pterygioteuthis gemmata. Its description in RNAcentral is "partial small subunit ribosomal RNA". The record is from RNAcentral. Lineage: Eukaryota; Metazoa; Mollusca; Cephalopoda; Oegopsida; Enoploteuthidae.
CGGCGCNUACAUAUUAGACUGAGACCGAUGCGCGAUUCCCGUCCUCCCGGCCUCCCGGGUCGGGAUCAAGGUCGGCGCGCUCCGCUUUUGGGUGCACUCUUGGAUAACUUCACUUGGGNUC